GUCCACGCCGUAAACGAUGAGUGCUAGAUGUAGGGAGCUAUAAGUUCUCUGUAUCGCAGCUAACGCAAUAAGCACUCCGCCUGGGGAGUAUGACCGCAAGGUUGAAACUCAAAGGAAUUGACGGGGCCCGCACAAGCGGUGGAGCAUGUGGUUUAAUUCGAAGCAACGCGAAGAACCUUACCAGGUCUUGACAUACUCGUGCUAUUUCUAGAGAUAGGAAGUUCCUUCGGGGACACGGGAUACAGGUGGUGCAUGGUUGUCGU
Molecule: ribosomal RNA, 263 nt
Filed under: uncultured bacterium
Lineage: Bacteria
Description: partial 16S ribosomal RNA
Rfam family: Bacterial small subunit ribosomal RNA
Source: RNAcentral